Molecule: ribosomal RNA, 242 nt
Filed under: uncultured bacterium
Lineage: Bacteria
Description: partial small subunit ribosomal RNA
Rfam family: Bacterial small subunit ribosomal RNA
Source: RNAcentral
AGAAUCAACGCUGGCGGCGUGCCUAACACAUGCAAGUCGAACGAGAAAGUGGAGCAAUCCAUGAGUAAAGUGGCGCACGGGUGAGUAACACGUGACUAACCUACCCUUGAGUGGGGAAUAACCUAGGGAACCUGGCUAAUACCGCAUAACACCUACGGGUCAAAGGAGCAAUUCGCUUAAGGAGGGGUCGCGGCAGAUUAGCUAGUUGGCGGGUAAUGGCCCACCAAGGCAGUGAUCUGUAU